UCGAGCGGAGAAUGUGGAGCUUGCUCCACAUUCUUAGCGGCGGACGGGUGAGUAACACGUGGGCAACCUGCCCUGCAGAUCGGGAUAACUCCGGGAAACCGGUGCUAAUACCGAAUAGUUUGGGGCCUCUCCUGAGGCCCUACGGAAAGACGGUUUCGGCUGUCACUGCAGGAUGGGCCCGCGGCGCAUUAGCUAGUUGGUGGGGUAAUGGCCCACCAAGGCGACGAUGCGUAGCCGACCUGAGAGGGUGAUCGGCCACACUGGGACUGAGACACGGCCCA
Molecule: ribosomal RNA, 281 nt
Filed under: Planomicrobium sp. Y74
Lineage: Bacteria; Bacillati; Bacillota; Bacilli; Caryophanales; Caryophanaceae
Description: partial 16S ribosomal RNA
Rfam family: Bacterial small subunit ribosomal RNA
Source: RNAcentral